AAUUGUGCAUGAAGGUUUGAAGGAAAUUGAUGCUUCUAUCAAACGUGUUAGGAAAAUGGUGAGGUAUGUUAGAUCAUCUUCGGCAAGAGGAAGUCACUUUAAGAAAAGUUGUGAAGUUCAAAGGGUGGAUUGUUCUAAAACAUUAGAGCUAGAUGUGCCUACUAGGUGGAAUUCCACCUACUUGAUGUUGGAUACGCACAAAACUUUGAGAAGGCCUUUGAUAGGUUUGAUCUUUUUGAUGAGAAUUUUAAUAAUUAUCUUUCUACUCAUGUUAUUGAAGAUGGAAGUGUUGCAGGUCCUCUCCAAUCUGAUGAUUGGGUGAAUGUAAGGAAUGUGAUAAAGUUUAUUGAAAGAUUUCACGAGCUCGCCGUAAAUGUUUUAGGUUCACAUUAUGUUACUUCUAAUGUUCAUUUUGAGGAUAUAUGUGAGCUUGAUGUACAUUUGAAAGUGUGUUUAGCAAGUGAAGAUCUUAAUUUGAGUAAAAUGGCUGAGCGGAUGAGAGAAAAGUUUAAAAAGUAUUGGGGUGAUCCUGAAAAGAUGAACAAAAUGAUUUUUAUUGCUUCCAUGUCGAUCCUCGUAAUAAGUUUGUGUAUGUUAGCUUUGGGCUUGAAGAGCUAUUUGGGGAGGAAGUAGGAAAGAAAGUAAGCAAAGGAGUGUAUGAUUAUAUGAAAUCUUUGUUUCGAGAGUAUCUAAAAAAUUAUUCAAGAGAAUUUCAUCAUAAAUCAUCUCCAUCUGCAUCUUCUUCAUCUCAAUGUUCAUCUGAUGUAUCUUCUAGUUUUGACACCUCUUUGAGAACAAAAGCUUUGAGAACUAAGCUUCAGUUGAAGAAACAAAAGGAAGAUUCUGGAUGUGGGAUGCUAAAUCGGAGUUGGAUAGAUACAUUAGUGAAGAACAAGAGCCUGAAGAUGAAUGUGUUGAGUUUAAGGUCUUAGAUUGGUGGAAAAUAAAUGCUCCUAGAUUUCCCGUGCUUUCAGAGUUGGCUCGUGAUGUGUUGGCUAUUCCGGUUUCUAGUGUGGCAUCGGAAUGUGCAUUUAGUGGAUGUAUUCUUGAUCCAUUUAGAAGUUCUUUGACUCCUAAAUGUGUGCAAUCUCUUAUUUGUGCCCAAGAUUGGCUUAGAGAAGAGACUAAACCCGUUAGUGUGGAAGAAAGUUUGGAGUAUCUUGAGCAACUUGAACUUGAGAUAGCAAAUAGUGGAAGAGAUCCUUGCAUUGUUGAUGUUUGAUUUAGGGAGUUUGAUUGCAAUUUGCUACUAGUGAAUAUUUUGCGGUAGUUCAAGACAAUGAAGAAGGGCGUAAAUUAAGGUGCUUGACAUAUGGUAUGAUACUUAAAUAUAAUUCAAGAGUGAAUGGCACAGGUUCCUUGAUCAAACAUAUUGGGAAAUGUCUUGAGCGUCAACAAAAGAGGCAAAUCCGCCUUCAAAUUUGAGCUUGUGUUUUGAAUUUGGUGAAUUUCGGACCGAAUUGUGAUUGCUAGUGUUGUGUUAAGACAAUGGAUUUAAGACUUAGUUUGUGAUAGCUAAUUUUUUGUAUUUGGAGCUAAAUUUUAAGAUAUUUGUGUUGUUUAUUUAUGUUGUUUGGUAGUUUGGUUGUU
Molecule: RNA transcript, 1590 nt
Organism: Lycium ferocissimum
Lineage: Eukaryota; Viridiplantae; Streptophyta; Magnoliopsida; Solanales; Solanaceae
Gene name: zinc finger BED domain-containing protein RICESLEEPER 2-like
Exons: 3
Source: RefSeq, a predicted model, not a curated record